This 374-nucleotide unclassified non-coding RNA is filed under the name soil metagenome. RNAcentral's name for it is "partial contains 5.8S ribosomal RNA, internal transcribed spacer 2, and large subunit ribosomal RNA". The stretch from base 1 to 117 matches the Rfam family "5.8S ribosomal RNA", at positions 35 to 154 of the family's 154-position model. The record is from RNAcentral.
GAUGAAGAACGCAGUGAAUCGCGAUAUGUAGUGUGAUCUGCCUCUAGUGAAUCAUCAAAUCUUUGAACGCAUCUUGCACCCUUUGGUAUUCCAAAGGGUACGCCUGUUUCAGUAUCAUUAUAACCUUUCUCCCCAAGGCUUUUUGGCCAAGGAGGGAAAGAGCAUAACCGGUGGCCCAGCGGUCUCCCUUCAGGGGGAUUGUCUCGGCUGGAAUGACUGUUGCAAUGGUGGGCCAAAUGGUCUUCCGCACUUGAUAAAUGUACUUUUAUAAAGAGCGGGACCGGUCUGCCGAAAGUUGUAACUAAACCCUGUUCCUUUAAUCUGAAAUCAGGCGGGAUUACCCGCUGAACUUAAGCAUAUCAAUAAGCGGAGGA